ACCGGCGGCUCGAGUGGUAAACGUUAUUAUUGGGUCUAAAGGGUCUGUAGCCGGCCGGAUAAGUCUCUUGAGAAAUCCAGCAGCUCAACUGUUGGGCUUUCAGGAGAUACUGUCUGGCUCGAGGCCGGGAGAGGUUAGAGGUACUUCAAGGGUAGGGGUGAAAUCCUAUAAUCCUUGGAGGACCACCUGUGGCGAAGGCGCCUAACUGGAACGAACCUGACGGUGAGUAACGAAAGCUAGGGGCGCGAACCG
Molecule: ribosomal RNA, 252 nt
Filed under: uncultured prokaryote
Description: partial 16S rRNA
Rfam family: Archaeal small subunit ribosomal RNA
Source: RNAcentral